Molecule: transfer RNA, 72 nt
Filed under: Camelus bactrianus (Bactrian camel)
Lineage: Eukaryota; Metazoa; Chordata; Mammalia; Artiodactyla; Camelidae
Also listed under: 2 other names
Rfam family: tRNA
About the family: Transfer RNA (tRNA) molecules are approximately 80 nucleotides in length. Their secondary structure includes four short double-helical elements and three loops (D, anti-codon, and T loops).
Source: Rfam by way of RNAcentral
GAGGGCAUAGCUCAGUGGUAGAGCACAUGCAUAGCAUGCAUGUGGUCCUGAGUUCAAUCCCCAGUCCCUCCA